RNAcentral lists this ribosomal RNA (282 nucleotides) under [Eubacterium] siraeum. RNAcentral describes it as "partial 16S ribosomal RNA". It matches the Rfam family "Bacterial small subunit ribosomal RNA", at positions 524 to 805 of the family's 1533-position model. The record is from RNAcentral. Lineage: Bacteria; Bacillati; Bacillota; Clostridia; Eubacteriales; Oscillospiraceae.
UACGUAGGUGGCGAGCGUUGUCCGGAAUUACUGGGUGUAAAGGGAGUGUAGGCGGGAAGGCAAGUCAGAAGUGAAAAUUAUGGGCUUAACCCAUAACCUGCUUUUGAAACUGUUUUUCUUGAGUGAGGCAGAGGCAAGCGGAAUUCCUAGUGUAGCGGUGAAAUGCGUAGAUAUUAGGAGGAACACCAGUGGCGAAGGCGGCUUGCUGGGCCUUUACUGACGCUGAGGCUCGAAAGCGUGGGGAGCAAACAGGAUUAGAUACCCCGGUAGUGCUGACUGACU